UACAGCGGGUAGUCGCUGUUCCAUGUAAAUGGAGCAGAGGAAAGUCGAGACACGCACACAGAUCUGGGGUCUAUUGGCCGCAGGCUGUGUAAAUUGGUGCCCGGCGCAAGCCGGGGCAGGGCGACCUGACGACGGCAAAAGCGACUCACUGAGUUGUGAGUAGCCAUAAAGUGCCACAGAAACUAUGUCACCGGGCGACCGGUGAGUGCAAGGGUAAACUCCACCUGCGUGCAACCCAAAUAGGCAGGGGCCUUGGCCACCUGCGGGUAGGGGCACCUCGCUGAGCGAGGAAGGAGAGUAUUUCUCCUUAGAUAGAUGACUACUAGAACAGAAUCUCGCUUAUGGCU
RNAcentral lists this RNase P RNA (347 nucleotides) under Desulforamulus ferrireducens. Its description in RNAcentral is "Desulfotomaculum ferrireducens Bacterial RNase P class B". It matches the Rfam family "Bacterial RNase P class B". Rfam says of the family: Ribonuclease P (RNase P) is a ubiquitous endoribonuclease, found in archaea, bacteria and eukarya as well as chloroplasts and mitochondria. Its best characterised activity is the generation of mature 5'-ends of tRNAs by cleaving the 5'-leader elements of precursor-tRNAs. Lineage: Bacteria; Bacillati; Bacillota; Clostridia; Eubacteriales; Peptococcaceae. The record is from Rfam by way of RNAcentral.